Non-coding RNA from Gemmatimonadetes bacterium 13_1_40CM_70_15, 91 nucleotides. The record is from Rfam. NCBI's taxonomy places the organism in Bacteria, Pseudomonadati, Gemmatimonadota.
GCGCGACAAAGGCAAACCCGGCGAAAGCCGGCGACGCAAAGCCCCGAGGCUACCGCACGCCAUCGCGUGCCAUGCCAGUCGAGCUGCCGAA